AGUGAACGCUGGCGGUAGGCCUAACACAUGCAAGUCGAACGGCAGCACAGUAAGAGCUUGCUCUUACGGGUGGCGAGUGGCGGACGGGUGAGGAAUACAUCGGAAUCUACUUUUUCGGGGGGGAUAACGUAGGGAAACUUACGCUAAUACCGCAUACGACCUACGGGUGAAAGCAGUGGAUCUUCGGACCUUGCGCGAUUGAAUGAGCCGAUGUCGGAUUAGCUAGUUUGCGGGGUAAAGGCCCACCAAGGCGACGAUACGUAGCUGGCCUGAGAGGGUGAUCCGCCACACUGGAACUGAGACACGGUCCAGACUCCUACGGGAGGCAGCAGUAGGGAAUCUUGCGCAAUGGGCGCAAGCCUGAUGCAGCCACGCCGCGUGAGUGAUGAAGGCCUUCGGGUUGUAAAACCCUGUUAUUAGGGAAGAAAAAAAGUGUGAUUAACUCCCCACGUUUUGACGGUACCCAAAGAAAAAGCCACGGCUAACUUCGUG
Molecule: ribosomal RNA, 492 nt
Filed under: uncultured bacterium
Lineage: Bacteria
Description: partial 16S ribosomal RNA
Rfam family: Bacterial small subunit ribosomal RNA
Source: RNAcentral